This 3300-nucleotide long non-coding RNA is filed under the name Lynx pardinus (Iberian lynx). Lineage: Eukaryota; Metazoa; Chordata; Mammalia; Carnivora; Felidae. The record is from RNAcentral.
AUUCAAUGCAGACUUUACCACGCACUCUCUGCUUAAUGUAAGUGAAGUUAAGAUGAAGACUCUGAACUUCAAUGACCUUAAGGGCAAUAUAAAAACUUGCAGGGUUACUGAGGAGAAUUAAGUAACCAUAUUCCUAGAAAUGUCCUGACACACAGUAAACACAAUAAAUCUUAGGUCUUACAUUGUCACUCUAUGUAAGUCACUCAUGAAGGUAAUUAUGAAGCUCUCAUAUGCUUUAUAAUGUACAAGAAUGUUUUGAGGCUGAUUUUGUCUAUGUUAAUGACUUGAUAAUUGUUUUGAGGGCUGUCUGAUGACAUAUGGAUUACACUAAGAACUGUCAACAGAACUGUUGACCCGAGUGACUAAACAGUUGUGCCAGCUCUGAGAUCAAUGAAACGACUCUGACCACUUCUGCUUGCUACAGGAAAUCUUAAAUGGGAGUAAAAGAAUACUGGACAAAUGUUCCUGUGAUAACUUAAUGAGACUGCAUUAUGUAAACCAUCUCUAGGAGACCCUUCUUGGAGCUAAAGUGUAAGAUGGUAAUCUAUUCAUUUGUAUCUGAUACAGAUGGUAUCUGUAUUCAUUUGACACCGUCUUUAUAGCCCGCAACCCCAGGGGCUCCAGGCAUAAUAAAGCUGUAAGUACAGGUGUUUCCUUUUGAAAUACCUGGAGUGUCAGUUAAUUAAGUUAACUGUAGACUUACCAGUUUUAGUUUGGCCUUGGUGACACAUAAUUUUUCAUUUUUGUGAUGCAUAAACCACCAUUGCAAACUCUUACUUAUUUUCAAAAACAAUUCACUUGAUAUGAUGUGCUCAGGAAUAUUUUUUUGGCCAAGAAGAAUUUCAUAGCCAUUAUUGAUUUUAGAACAAUGUACAAGCAUUCAAGCUACUUAGGGCUGACUUUUUAGCAAUGUCUCCAAAUGUCACUCUUCUUACUUUAAAGAAGAAUAUCCUAACUUUAUAAAAAUUACAGUACUUAGGGCACACUUAAGAUGAUUUUUAAUGAAUAUAAUGGAAGAGGAGAGGAAGUCUUAAGAUAGUUCCUGGAAAUAUAUGUACCUGCUGUCAUAACAAAGAGAACCGUUCUGUGUGAUGGAGGAGGGGAGGCUGGGACGGGAACUGUCAGUAAAAUGGAGUAAGACAGUUCUGAUUUUCUUCCACUCUGUUAAGGCGGCGGGUCCCUCAAUAAGGGAAAGGCCUUCAAGAGACCCUACUUCCAAUGACAUACGCUGGGAAUACUCAGUACUGAAUUUUGCUGAAAUGGAUUCUUGUCAGGACUGGCAUGACUGAUCUCAAGAAAACAGUCACCUAUAUUCCUGGUACACAAUGGUACUCGACAGACAGACGGUUGUUGAAUGAAUAUGGACAAAAGUACUGGCAUGUGCAGGAAUGCAAGCGCAAAUGCAUGGAAAUAGAAAGGGAGGAUAGAAACAGUCACUCUAAGAAAAUAUCAGAUUGCAAAGUAAAGAGAAAAUAUUGCAUUCCAUAGUAAAUAAUGAUACUUUUACUUAGAAGUAAGACGUCAAUGGGUAGUGUUAUUUCACUUAAAUAUUGCUCUCUAACACAGAUAUUAGCAAAGCUAAGACAUUUUAAAAUAAUAACAAAGAUAAUGAUAGUUGACAUUUAUUCAAAGCCAAUAUGUCAGGCACUACAGUAAGAAUUUUACAUGGAAGAGAUCAGUCUUAAUAACAGCUUUAUGAGGUAGGCAGGUAAUAUUUCCACUCAACAUAUGGUAAACUAUGCCAUAGGGAGGUACGUUAUCUCGCCCAAGAUUGCUCAGCCAGAAAGUCAUGGCUCUGACUCCAAAAGAAGGUAUUCUCAACAGUAGGAAUAUUAUUGUAAACAGGGGUGAGUGUGUUAAGUUGGCAUAUGAAGCCACUAUUGCGGAAGACCAAACUUCCUUUGAAAACUCACUUAAUUAACCAUAAUGCACAUUAUUAUACACAGGUUCAUAUAUUCAAAUCCAUAUAGCAAUAUAUACACACUAUAUAUCCUAGACAUAGUAAUGUAUGGUAUAAUAAACUGGAUAUAUAUGCAAAAUACAACUUUACAGUAGAACCACUGAAAUGAGAAUGCUCAUACCAUGAGGGGUACCUCAGGUGGCCUGAGGAGCCACAGCAGAUUCGUGCCCCUGUCUCAUGUCUGCUGUGAGACACAUGCACCUUGUUUAGCAUGGAGUUGCAGAAUUACCCGUACCCAUAAUUUGUCAUCUCUAAAUGUAUUAUUUCCUGCUGAGGGCAAAGAGUUGAAUUUGCAUAAGUGAGCUGUAUACACAGUGUCACUCGACUGUGUGUGCCUGCCCUUCUCCUCCCUCAAUUAUUCCUGCCUGAGACCUCCUGAGCUCUGAGCACAUUCCCACCAACGUGAACCACAGUAAGCAGCCUCAACAGAGCAGGCAGGUCCUGUAAAUCCAAAAUCUUAUUAAUGCCAAGGCAGAGAGGUGACACUCACCCUCUUUUAACUUCUGGAGAAAAAAAUCAGAUAGCCCCCAGUGAAAAAAAAAGAAAAGAAAAGAAAAUCAUCUUCCCCCUGCAUAAGUCUUGUUUCUAAAAGUCCCUGUUUUUCCUGAUUUAACAUUUGAACAAUUUACUUUUGUGUGAAACCACCCAAUUAUACCCCUGGAGCCAAGUGAAGGUCAAAUCCCUUUACACCCAGUAGUCUUGACAACCAACAUUCCACUUAACAACAAGAUUUCCAAAUCCCAGACACAGGCUCUCUUACUGGAAACAUUUCCUCCGUAAGUGACAGAAUGAAGUGAUCACACACACACACAAAAGAGCCGGGGACAGGCUCUCUGGGAGUUUGCUGCAUGUGGCUUGACCUGAAUGUCAGGCACCUGGGGGUCCCCUUAGUGAAGGUUGGUGACCUUCUUCCCUGCAUUGCACUUCUGUUCCCUACUGUCCGCUACCUCUAAACGGAACGCCUCUUUCUUUUCCAGAGGGAAGGGGCUAAAAUACCAGACUGUGAUGUACCAUCUCUCGGUUGCUAUGACUGAGGCCAUUAAAAUGGCAGGCAUUAAAAGACUGCCCCUCAGGACCCAGCUACAAAGCCUCAAGGUCACUGCAUUCCACAGCUUCCUGUUAGCCCUUCAUUCCUGGCCUCAGAGCUUCAAUAUCCUGGCGAGAUCCCCUCGCAUUAUAUUUCAUGGGGCUUAAAUGCAAGCUCUCUCAGCAAGCCCGAGAGUAUAAUGGGAGUUUUAAUACAUUCCUUUUACCUAAGGCUGGGAUCUAUUUCAAAAAGUUACCCAAUAGGUUUUCUUUCAGGUGAGCUCAUUGCUGAGACAUUCCAAAAUGACAUUAAA